This is a non-coding RNA of Cinara cedri, 209 nucleotides long. NCBI's taxonomy places the organism in Eukaryota, Metazoa, Arthropoda, Insecta, Hemiptera, Aphididae. The record is from the annotation of a GenBank genome assembly.
GGUAAAAAGGAGGUAAAAAUAAAACUCAUAAUUGUGUUUCUAUGAUAUAACGUUACGUAAAUAAUAUAAACCUAAUCACCCUAUAUUUUCAUUUCGUUCCCAACAGUUUGUUUUUAUUAUUUUUUACAAUACAAAAGCAGCGAAAAAAUAGUGUACACCAAAAUGUGAUUUUCGAUUUCGUCAUAUGAUACAUUGCAAUUGUAAUUUGA